CCUAGAGUUUGUGGGCUUUGCCCACUGUCUCUUACCCAUGUCUUUUGAGUACUUACGUUUCCUCGGUGGGCUCGCCCGCCGGUUGGACAAUUUAAACCAUUUGUAGUAGCAGUAUCUUCAGUAAAAACAAAUAUUA
This 136-nucleotide unclassified non-coding RNA is filed under the name uncultured Podospora. RNAcentral describes it as "sequence contains ITS1". The record is from RNAcentral. Lineage: Eukaryota; Fungi; Ascomycota; Sordariomycetes; Sordariales; Lasiosphaeriaceae.